This 397-nucleotide ribosomal RNA is filed under the name uncultured Lampropedia sp. RNAcentral's name for it is "bacterial SSU rRNA". It matches the Rfam family "Bacterial small subunit ribosomal RNA", at positions 984 to 1382 of the family's 1533-position model. The record is from RNAcentral. Lineage: Bacteria; Pseudomonadati; Pseudomonadota; Betaproteobacteria; Burkholderiales; Comamonadaceae.
ACAUGUCCGGAAUCCGAAGAGAUUGGAGUGCUCGCAACGAGAACCGGAACACAGGUGCUGCAUGGCUGUCGUCAGCUCGUGUCGUGAGAUGUUGGGUUAAGUCCCGCAACGAGCGCAACCCUUGUCAUUAGUUGCCAUCAUUUGGUUGGGCACUCUAAUGAGACUGCCGGUGACAAACCGGAGGAAGGUGGGGAUGACGUCAAGUCCUCAUGGCCCUUAUAGGUGGGGCUACACACGUCAUACAAUGGAUGGUACAAAGGGUCGCCAACCCGCGAGGGGGAGCCAAUCCCAUAAAGCCAUUCGUAGUCCGGAUCGCAGUCUGCAACUCGACUGCGUGAAGUCGGAAUCGCUAGUAAUCGUGGAUCAGAAUGUCACGGUGAAUACGUUCCCGGGUCUU